UACGGAGGGUGCAAGCGUUAAUCGGAAUUACUGGGCGUAAAGCGUGCGCAGGCGGUUUGUUAAGUCCGUUGUGAAAGCCCCGAGCUCAACUUGGGAAUUGCAGUGGAUACUGGCAGGCUGGAGUACGGUAGAGGAAGGUGGAAUUCCCGGUGUAGCAGUGAAAUGCGUAGAUAUCAGGAAGAACACCCGUGGCUAAGGCGGCUCUCUAGUACGGUACUGACGCUGAGACGCGAAAGCGUGGGGAGCGAACAGG
Molecule: ribosomal RNA, 253 nt
Filed under: uncultured bacterium
Lineage: Bacteria
Description: partial 16S ribosomal RNA
Rfam family: Bacterial small subunit ribosomal RNA
Source: RNAcentral